This 259-nucleotide ribosomal RNA is filed under the name uncultured bacterium. RNAcentral describes it as "partial 16S ribosomal RNA". It matches the Rfam family "Bacterial small subunit ribosomal RNA", at positions 103 to 353 of the family's 1533-position model. The record is from RNAcentral.
CGGGUGAGUAACACGUAGACAACCUGCCCCCUGGCCCGGGACAACCUCUGGAAACGGAGGCUGAUACCGGACGGGCAGGAGAGGGGCAUCCCUCUCCUGUGAAAGGCCCUGCAAGGGGCCGCGAGGGGAUGGGUCUGCGGUGCAUUAGCUAGUUGGCGGGGCAGCGGCCCACCAAGGCGACGAUGCAUAGCCGGCCUGAGAGGGCGGACGGCCACAUUGGGACUGAGACACGGCCCAGACUCCUACGGGAGGCAGCAUG